This 510-nucleotide ribosomal RNA is filed under the name uncultured Desulfobulbus sp. RNAcentral's name for it is "bacterial SSU rRNA". It matches the Rfam family "Bacterial small subunit ribosomal RNA", at positions 903 to 1382 of the family's 1533-position model. Lineage: Bacteria; Pseudomonadati; Thermodesulfobacteriota; Desulfobulbia; Desulfobulbales; Desulfobulbaceae. The record is from RNAcentral.
CCUUGCCAGCCCGCUCAAGAAACUCGAAAGGAAUUGACGGGGCCCGCACAAGCGGUGGAGUAUGUGGUUUAAUUCGAUGCAACGCGAAGAACCUUACCUGGUCUUGACAUCCCGGAGACCCUUAGGAAACUAGGGGGUGCUUCCAUCUGGAAGAAUCUGGAGACAGGUGCUGCAUGGCUGUCGUCAGCUCGUGUCGUGAGAUGUUGGGUUAAGUCCCGCAACGAGCGCAACCCUUGCCUUUAGUUGCCAGCAGUUCGGCUGGGCACUCUAAAGGGACUGCCGGUGUUAAACCGGAGGAAGGUGGGGAUGACGUCAAGUCCUCAUGGCCUUUAUGACCAGGGCUACACACGUACUACAAUGGCCGAUACAAAGGGCAGCGACACUGCGAGGUGAAGCCAAUCCCGUAAAAUCGGUCUCAGUCCGGAUUGGAGUCUGCAACUCGACUCCAUGAAGUUGGAAUCGCUAGUAAUCGUGGAUCAGCAUGCCACGGUGAAUACGUUCCCGGGCCUU